This 315-nucleotide ribosomal RNA is filed under the name Triticum aestivum (bread wheat). Its description in RNAcentral is "partial small subunit ribosomal RNA". Lineage: Eukaryota; Viridiplantae; Streptophyta; Magnoliopsida; Poales; Poaceae. The record is from RNAcentral.
AUGUCGGGGAGGUGGCGCGGCGCGGGGGGACGGCUCGUCAUGGAUGGGCUUGCCGUGGCGCCCCCUCUCCGGCGCUGUUCCAGAGGAUUGGCUGGCGAGGGCGAGGGCGGCGGCGGUGGCGGUGGAAGGACGCGGCCUCGCCCGGGGUGGAGGGGUCCGGCUGGGCGGAGGCGCGGGUGGGGAUGGGGAGGCGCCGAGGAGGAGAGGGAAAAAGGUAUAGCAGCAAAGCGGUGCGGGGGAGAAUUGCCUUUCUAUUGCCUACCGCGGAAGAACAGCAUGCUGCGUCAGGUUAACAGCUGGUUACAAAACGCUUGA